CAGCAGCCGCGGUAAUACGUAGGGUGCAAGCGUUAAUCGGAAUUACUGGGCGUAAAGCGUGCGCAGGCGGUUCGGAAAGAAAGAUGUGAAAUCCCAGAGCUUAACUUUGGAACUGAAUUUUUAACUACCGGGCUAGAGUGUGUCAGAGGGAGGUGGAAUUCCGCGUGUAGCAGUGAAAUGCGUAGAUAUGCGGAGGAACACCGAUGGCGAAGGCAGCCUCCUGGGAUAACACUGACGCUCAUGCACGAAAGCGUGGGGAGCAAACAGGAUUAGAUACCCCAGUAGUCCCUGUCUCUUAUAC
RNAcentral lists this ribosomal RNA (301 nucleotides) under uncultured bacterium. Its description in RNAcentral is "partial 16S ribosomal RNA". It matches the Rfam family "Bacterial small subunit ribosomal RNA", at positions 509 to 807 of the family's 1533-position model. The record is from RNAcentral.